Struthio camelus australis is the source of this 45-nucleotide non-coding RNA. The record is from Rfam. Lineage: Eukaryota; Metazoa; Chordata; Aves; Struthioniformes; Struthionidae.
CAAAAUGCUUUUUUUAAAGCCAUUAAUAGGCUCAAUUAAAUUUUG